This 254-nucleotide unclassified non-coding RNA is filed under the name uncultured bacterium. Its description in RNAcentral is "contains 16S-23S intergenic spacer region". It matches the Rfam family "Bacterial small subunit ribosomal RNA", at positions 524 to 776 of the family's 1533-position model. The record is from RNAcentral.
GACGUAGGGGGCAAGCGUUGUCCGGAUUUACUGGGCGUAAAGGGCGCGUAGGCGGCUACGGAAGUCCGGCGUGAAAGGUCGUGGCUCAACCGCGAACCUGCGUCGGAUACUCCGUUGGCUUGAGGACGGUAGAGGUGAGUGGAACUAGCGGUGUAGCGGUGAAAUGCGCAGAUAUCGCUAGGAACGCCGGUGGCGAAGGCUGCUCACUGGGCCGAUCCUGACGCUGAGGCGCGAAAGCUAGGGGAGCGAACCGG